This 500-nucleotide long non-coding RNA is filed under the name Homo sapiens (human). RNAcentral's name for it is "HSALNT0287926". The record is from RNAcentral. Lineage: Eukaryota; Metazoa; Chordata; Mammalia; Primates; Hominidae.
GUUUGAUCUCAGACCGCCGUGCUAGCAAUCAGCGAGACUCCAUGGGUGUAGGACCCCCCAUUCCCAGCCAGAUGUGGGAUAUAAUCUCGUGGUGCGCCGUUUUUUAAGCUCGUGGGAAAUGCGCAGUAUUUGGGUGGGAGUGACCCGAUUUUCCAGGUGCGUCCGUCACCCCUUUAUUUGACUAGGAAAGGGAACUCCGUGACCCCUUGCGCUUCCUGAGUGAGGCAAUGCCUCGCCCUGCUUCGGCUCACGCACGGUGCACGCACCCACUGACCUGCGCCCACUGUCUGGCACUCCGUAGUGAGAUGAACCCGGUACCUCAGGUGGAAAUGAAGAAAUCACCCGUCUUCUGCGUCGCUCAGGCUGGGAGCUGUAGACCGGAGCUGUUCCUAUUCGGCCAUCUUGGCUCCUCCCCGUGACUUUCAAAUAAAACUCAGUACAAAACAAGCAGACACCCAUGGCCUUUCCAUGUCUAAGGACUAUUCACGAUAGCAAGGAAA